AACGAACGCCGGCGGCAUGCCUAACACAUGCAAGUCGAACGAGACCUUCGGGUCUAGUGGCGCACGGGUGCGUAACACGUGGGAAUCUGCCCUUGGGUUCGGAAUAACAGUUGGAAACGACUGCUAAUACCGGAUGAUGACGUAAGUCCAAAGAUUUAUCGCCCAAGGAUGAGCCCGCGUCGGAUUAGCUAGUUGGUGGG
This 200-nucleotide ribosomal RNA is filed under the name uncultured bacterium. Its description in RNAcentral is "partial 16S ribosomal RNA". It matches the Rfam family "Bacterial small subunit ribosomal RNA", at positions 29 to 256 of the family's 1533-position model. The record is from RNAcentral.